GAUGAACGCUAGCGGCAGGCCUAACACAUGCAAGUCGAGGGAGAGGUUACCUUCGGGUACCCAAAACCGGCGCACGGGUGCGUAACGCGUAUACAAUCUGCCUUUCACAUAGGGAUAGCCCGAAGAAAUUUGGAUUAAUACCUAAUGGUAUAUAAGAGCGGCAUCGUUUUUAUCUUAAAGCUACGGUGGUGAAAGAUGAGUAUGCGUUCUAUUAGCUAGUUGGAGAGGUAACGGCUCCCCAAGGCGACGAUAGAUAGGGGUUCUGAGAGGGAUGUCCCCCACACUGGUACUGAGAUACGGACCAGACUCCUACGGGAGGCAGCAGUGAGGAAUAUUGGACAAUGGUCGGAAGACUGAUCCAGCCAUGCCGCGUGCAGGAUGAAGGUCCUAUGGAUUGUAAACUGCUUUUGUAAGGGAAGAAUAAGGAGUACGUGUACUUUGAUGACGGUACCUUACGAAUAAGCAUCGGCUAACUCCGUG
Molecule: ribosomal RNA, 480 nt
Filed under: uncultured bacterium
Lineage: Bacteria
Description: partial 16S ribosomal RNA
Rfam family: Bacterial small subunit ribosomal RNA
Source: RNAcentral